GCCCCAAUGGCCAACGGUGGCGCCCGCACCACAUAGUGAUGAUUGAGUAUGGUCGAUUCAAGCGGGAGGCCUGGUUCGAUUCCGGGGUGGGUCA
Non-coding RNA from Mycena leptocephala, 94 nucleotides. The record is from the annotation of a GenBank genome assembly. NCBI's taxonomy places the organism in Eukaryota, Fungi, Basidiomycota, Agaricomycetes, Agaricales, Mycenaceae.